UUCGCCCUAGCUCUUCCGAUCUUAUUCCCUACGGGGGGCAGCAGUGAGGAAUAUUGGUCAAUGGGCGCGAGCCUGAACCAGCCAAGUCGCGUGAGGGAAGACGGUCCUAUGGAUUGUAAACCUCUUUUGUCGGGGAGCAAAAGACGCCACGUGUGGCGUUCCGAGAGUACCCGAAGAAAAAGCAUCGGCUAACUCCGUGCCAGCAGCCGCGGUAAUACGGAGGAUGCGAGCGUUAUCCGGAUUUAUUGGGUUUAAAGGGUGCGCAGGCGGAAGAUCAAGUCAGCGGUAAAAUUGAGAGGCUCAAC
Molecule: ribosomal RNA, 305 nt
Filed under: uncultured bacterium
Lineage: Bacteria
Description: bacterial SSU rRNA
Rfam family: Bacterial small subunit ribosomal RNA
Source: RNAcentral